This 72-nucleotide transfer RNA is filed under the name Plectorhinchus cinctus (crescent sweetlips). RNAcentral describes it as "tRNA-Val". It matches the Rfam family "tRNA". Rfam says of the family: Transfer RNA (tRNA) molecules are approximately 80 nucleotides in length. Their secondary structure includes four short double-helical elements and three loops (D, anti-codon, and T loops). Lineage: Eukaryota; Metazoa; Chordata; Actinopteri; Lutjaniformes; Haemulidae. The record is from RNAcentral.
CAGGGCAUGGCUUAAACAGUAGAGCAUCUCUCUUACACUGAGAAGUUACCUGUGCAAAUCAGGUUGCCCCGA